This 492-nucleotide ribosomal RNA is filed under the name uncultured bacterium. RNAcentral's name for it is "partial 16S ribosomal RNA". It matches the Rfam family "Bacterial small subunit ribosomal RNA", at positions 28 to 507 of the family's 1533-position model. The record is from RNAcentral.
GAUGAACGCUAGCUAUAGGCUUAACACAUGCAAGUCGAGGGGAAACGGCAUUAUGUGCUUGCACAUUUUGGACGUCGACCGGCGCACGGGUGAGUAUCGCGUAUCCAACCUGCCCUUUACUUGGGGAUACCCCGUUGAAAGACGGCCUAAUACCCGAUGUAAUUCAUUGAUGGCAUCAGAUAUGAAUAAAAGAUUUAUCGGUAAAGGAUGGGGAUGCGUCUGAUUAGCUUGUUGGCGAGGUAACGGCUCACCAAGGCGACGAUCAGUAGGGGUUCUGAGAGGAAGGUCCCCCACAUUGGAACUGAGACACGGUCCAAACUCCUACGGGAGGCAGCAGUGAGGAAUAUUGGUCAAUGGGCGCAAGCCUGAACCAGCCAAGUAGCGUGCAGGAAGACGGCCCUAUGGGUUGUAAACUGCUUUUAUACGAGAAUAAUUUGAUGCACGCGUGCGUUAUUGCAUGUAUCGUAUGAAUAAGGACCGGCUAAUUCCGUG